AUGCGCGGCCACUACUGGCCGGGCAUGAAGGCCAACUGGAUCGUCCUCAUCCACCAAUCCGGUAGUCCGUGGCAUCUCGUGGAUAUAUACACCCAGCGAGAGAUCACCCUUCCAUCUUUGGAUACCGCCGCCAUCAAGACUCGCGGCCCACCGGACACUCCUGCCUACUACGCACGAGACGCCAGACGCAAAUGCGCUAGCCUUCAUGAUUCCAGGACCUGGAACCAUUCCAGCCGAUGGGUGGUGUACCAUAUAACUGGAAUUAACCCAUGCAAGUCGAAGAAGGAUUGGCUGGUGCUGUCGGCUGUUGUCACGUUCGAUCCCACGGAUCAGGAGCUGAUCGAGCACCUUGAGGCCAAAGUGAGUGCUGACAGCGCGACAUCUCACCCUCUCAUCGAUUUGUUCAUACCAACCAUCGAUAGCGAGCACGGCAUAUGCUACACCCAUCCUGAGAAAUUCCCAGGUAUCACACUGAGUGGCCUAAGCAAGCAUUUCUGCUUGCACAAUACUAGGGCAUUCAAAAGGGGCACGUGGACGCGUCGCAAGAUACAGUCGGAGUGCGGCAUGCACGCGAUGUGGCACAACACCGGCAAUACCUUGCCGGUGAUGGUCAACGGCCGGCAGACGGGCAGCAAAAAGGUUCUGGUGCACCACACCAACAAGAACUUCGACCAGCAGAGGACCAACUGGGUGAUGCACCAGUACCACCUCGGGGACCUGGAGCAAGAGAAGGAGCGGGAGCUGGUCCUCUGCAAGAUUUUCUACCAGACGAACACUAGGGCCAGGAGUAAAAAGAUUAUAAGUUAG
RNAcentral lists this ribosomal RNA (807 nucleotides) under Triticum aestivum (bread wheat). RNAcentral describes it as "partial small subunit ribosomal RNA". The record is from RNAcentral. Lineage: Eukaryota; Viridiplantae; Streptophyta; Magnoliopsida; Poales; Poaceae.